Molecule: ribosomal RNA, 437 nt
Filed under: uncultured bacterium
Lineage: Bacteria
Description: bacterial SSU rRNA
Rfam family: Bacterial small subunit ribosomal RNA
Source: RNAcentral
GAUGAACGCUGGCGGCGUGCUUAACACAUGCAAGUCGAGCGAUGAAGUUUCCUUCGGGAAACGGAUUAGCGGCGGACGGGUGAGUAACACGUGGGUAACCUGCCUCAUAGAGUGGAAUAGCCUUCCGAAAGGAAGAUUAAUACCGCAUAAUGUUGAAAGAUGGCAUCAUAAUUUAACCAAAGGAGCAAUCCGCUAUGAGAUGGACCCGCGGCGCAUUAGCUAGUUGGUGGGGUAACGGCCUACCAAGGCGACGAUGCGUAGCCGACCUGAGAGGGUGAUCGGCCACAUUGGGACUGAGACACGGCCCAGACUCCUACGGGAGGCAGCAGUGGGGAAUAUUGCACAAUGGGGGAAACCCUGAUGCAGCAACGCCGCGUGAGUGAUGAAGGUUUUCGGAUUGUAAAGCUCUGUCUUUGGGGAAGAUAAUGACGGWCCCA